UAUAAGGCCUUAGCUUAAAUUAAAGUUUCUGUUUUGCAUACAGAAGAUGUGGGUUAAACUCCUGUGGGUCUUA
Molecule: transfer RNA, 73 nt
Filed under: Austrolebias bellottii
Lineage: Eukaryota; Metazoa; Chordata; Actinopteri; Cyprinodontiformes; Rivulidae
Description: tRNA-Ala
Rfam family: tRNA
About the family: Transfer RNA (tRNA) molecules are approximately 80 nucleotides in length. Their secondary structure includes four short double-helical elements and three loops (D, anti-codon, and T loops).
Source: RNAcentral